AGUGAACGCUGGCGGUAGGCCUAACACAUGCAAGUCGAACGGCAGCACAGUAAGAGCUUGCUCUUACGGGUGGCGAGUGGCGGACGGGUGAGGAAUACAUCGGAAUCUACUUUUUCGUGGGGGAUAACGUAGGGAAACUUACGCUAAUACCGCAUACGACCUACGGGUGAAAGCAGGGGAUCUUCGGACCUUGCGCGAUUGAAUGAGCCGAUGUCGGAUUAGCUAGUUGGCGGGGUAAAGGCCCACCAAGGCGACGAUCCGUAGCUGGUCUGAGAGGAUGAUCAGCCACACUGGAACGGAGACACGGCCCAGACUCCUACGGGAGGACGCAGUGGGGAAUAUUGGACAAUGGGCGCAAGCCUGAUCCAGACAUACCGCGGGGGUGAAGAAGGCCUUCGGGUUGUAAAGCCCUUUUGUUGGGAAAGAAAAGCAGCAGGUUAAUACCCCGCUGUUCUGACGGUACCCAAAGAAUAAGCACCGGCUAACUUCGUG
Molecule: ribosomal RNA, 492 nt
Filed under: uncultured bacterium
Lineage: Bacteria
Description: partial 16S ribosomal RNA
Rfam family: Bacterial small subunit ribosomal RNA
Source: RNAcentral